UACGUAGGGUGCAAGCGUUGUCCGGAAUUAUUGGGCGUAAAGAGCUCGUAGGCGGUCUGUCACGUCGGCUGUGAAAUCCCGAGGCUCAACCUCGGGUCUGCAGUCGAUACGGGCAAACUAGAGUACUGCAGGGGAGACUGGAAUUCCUGGUGUAGCGGUGAAAUGCGCAGAUAUCAGGAGGAACACCAGUGGCGAAGGCGGGUCUCUGGGCAGGAACUGACGCUGAGGAGCGAAAGCGUGGGGAGCGAACAGG
Molecule: ribosomal RNA, 253 nt
Filed under: uncultured bacterium
Lineage: Bacteria
Description: partial 16S ribosomal RNA
Rfam family: Bacterial small subunit ribosomal RNA
Source: RNAcentral